RNAcentral lists this ribosomal RNA (293 nucleotides) under uncultured bacterium. Its description in RNAcentral is "partial 16S ribosomal RNA". It matches the Rfam family "Archaeal small subunit ribosomal RNA", at positions 455 to 747 of the family's 1478-position model. The record is from RNAcentral.
GUGCCAGCCACCGCGGUAAUACCGGCAGCCCGAGUGAUGGCCGAUCUUAUUGGGCCUAAAGCGUCCGUAGCUGGCUGCGCAAGUCCGUCGGGAAAUCCACGCGCUCAACGCGUGGGCGUCCGGCGGAAACCACUCGGCUUGGGGCCGGAGGACUCGAGGGGUACGUCUGGGGUAGGAGUGAAAUCCCGUAAUCCUGGACGGACCGCCGAUGGCGAAAGCACUUCGAGAAAACGGAUCCGACAGUGAGGGACGAAAGCCAGGGUCUCCAACCGGAUUAGAAACCCCAGUAGUCC